UACGGGGGGGGGCAAGCGUUGUUCGGAAUUACUGGGCGUAAAGGGUUCGUAGGGGGCCCGCUAAGUCACACGUGAAAUCCCUCAGCUUAACUGGGGAACUGCGUGUGAGACUGGCGGGCUUGAGGGCAGGAGAGGAACGCGGAAUUCCAGGUGUAGCGGUGAAAUGCGUAGAUAUCUGGAGGAACACCGGUGGCGAAGGCGGCAUCCUGGACCAAUACUGACGCUGAGGAGCGAAAGCCAGGGGAGCAAACGGG
RNAcentral lists this ribosomal RNA (254 nucleotides) under uncultured bacterium. RNAcentral describes it as "partial 16S ribosomal RNA". It matches the Rfam family "Bacterial small subunit ribosomal RNA", at positions 524 to 776 of the family's 1533-position model. The record is from RNAcentral.